Molecule: ribosomal RNA, 764 nt
Filed under: Klebsiella pneumoniae
Lineage: Bacteria; Pseudomonadati; Pseudomonadota; Gammaproteobacteria; Enterobacterales; Enterobacteriaceae
Description: partial 23S ribosomal RNA
Rfam family: Bacterial large subunit ribosomal RNA
Source: RNAcentral
GACGCCAGUCUGCGUGGAGCCAACCUUGAAAUACCACCCUUUAAUGUUUGAUGUUCUAACGUUGGCCCCUGACCGGGGUUGCGGACAGUGUCUGGUGGGUAGUUUGACUGGGGCGGUCUCCUCCCAAAGCGUAACGGAGGAGCACGAAGGUUAGCUAAUCCUGGUCGGACAUCAGGAGGUUAGUGCAAUGGCAUAAGCUAGCUUGACUGCGAGCGUGACGGCGCGAGCAGGUGCGAAAGCAGGUCAUAGUGAUCCGGUGGUUCUGAAUGGAAGGGCCAUCGCUCAACGGAUAAAAGGUACUCCGGGGAUAACAGGCUGAUACCGCCCAAGAGUUCAUAUCGACGGCGGUGUUUGGCACCUCGAUGUCGGCUCAUCACAUCCUGGGGCUGAAGUAGGUCCCAAGGGUAUGGCUGUUCGCCAUUUAAAGUGGUACGCGAGCUGGGUUUAGAACGUCGUGAGACAGUUCGGUCCCUAUCUGCCGUGGGCGCUGGAGAAUUGAGGGGGGCUGCUCCUAGUACGAGAGGACCGGAGUGGACGCAUCACUGGUGUUCGGGUUGUCAUGCCAAUGGCACUGCCCGGUAGCUAAAUGCGGAAGAGAUAAGUGCUGAAAGCAUCUAAGCACGAAACUUGCCCCGAGAUGAGUUCUCCCUGAGACUUUAAGUCUCCUGAAGGAACGUUAAAGACGAUGACGUUGAUAGGCCGGGUGUGUAAGCGCAGCGAUGCGUUGAGCUAACCGGUACUAAUGAACCGUGAGGCUUAACCUU